This is a long non-coding RNA of Brassica napus (rape), 2417 nucleotides long. RefSeq lists it as uncharacterized. The record is from RefSeq and is a predicted model, not a curated record. The transcript is spliced from 4 exons. Lineage: Eukaryota; Viridiplantae; Streptophyta; Magnoliopsida; Brassicales; Brassicaceae.
AAGAAAUAUGAGUAUUAGUAGCAGUUCGCGGUAGCACGAAUUCACGAACUGCCACCGAAAGUCCCAAAAUCUUAGCACUACUCUAUUAUAGCACUAAAUUUGCGUUAAGAUAAAAUUUCAUUAAGCGGGAAAGCAAAAAUCAUUAUUAUAGCUGAAAAAAUAUUUUGGAGCCAACACUUAGUCAAUUUUUGGGUUUCCUUUACAUUUUUGUGUUAAAAAAAAAUAGGUUUCUUAUCUCUUUGAUAAAAAAAAAAAAAACUUUCUUAUCUCUAGUCGUCUCUGUCCCUCUCGAGUCUCAUCUCUGCGUUUCCCCCUUUACUCCAUCUCGAGCUCCACCUCGAGCUCCACCACUCUGUGGUCUCCACUCACCCACAAUCGAACAAGGUGGCGCCUCUUGUCCACUCUCGAGCCUCACCGCCGUGCUCUGCUCAUCAAUCCACCGUGCUCUGCUUCACACCGCAACAGUCUGGCCGUCGUCGCCACGUCGGAGCUCUCAUCCAUCGCAAUCCAUCACUGUGUCCGUGACCAAACGACACCACGAUAGCACCUGCUCCAAAUCAAGCUUCUCUGGCGCGUUCUUGCUUCAACGGAAUCAUGCCUCACCGUCGGAAUCAAAGUGGAGAAGAGAAACAAUGGCGUUUCGACAAAAGGUGCUGCUACCAAGUAGUGGGCAUUGGAAGAUGGUACUAACUCUGUCGCUAUGGCUAAGAGAAGAAUGAGAGCCAACUUUGAGUUUUUGAAGAAACUUGGAGUUGAUUGGUGGUGUUUCUACACGUGAGGUGCAGGUGGAGUUCUUCUUGUUUACGACAUCAGCAGACAGCAGACUUUUCAGAGCAUUGGUAGAUGGCUGAACGAGCUGCACACACACUCGGACAUGAACGUUGUGACGUUCUUCGUUCAUUCGUUACGAAUUGGAGUUGAUUGGUGGUGUUGUGUUUUACUUGUCUCUUGACAGGUGGUGUUGCGGAAACGCCUUGCCCAUAUCAAAAGAGAAGUUGAUAAAAAGAUGGUGGAGAAGAGAACUUGGUUUCUUGUGUUCUUCUGUGUCAAGCUUUGAUCUGAGUUAAGUGAGAUUCGGUUUGGAUUAGAUGGUGAAGGAAACAGAGUAAUAUGAUGUGCUCGGCGUUAGCCCAAGUGCUACUGAGUCUGAGAUCAAGACUCAGUUUGUUUAUGACUAGAUUUGAUGGUUAUAUGUUCUUUUAUGGAGUUCGUGUAUUUCAUGUAUUGAUUUUGUAUGUUUUGAUUCUUUGAUGGAAAAACAUGUGGUAUUAUAUGAUUUAUUUGUGUUUUAUUAGAGUAAAUUAUAUUUAUUAAUCUUAUUGCAAUUAUAUUAUAAACAUUAUGCUUAAAAAUUAAAUUAUCAUUUUACAAAUUUAGGGAUAUAUAAUUUUAACAAAGUGACUAGCUAGAUUUAUUUUUAACCUCUAUACCCUAAAUAUAUUUUUAAUCUCUAAACCCUAAAAUUAAUCAUAAAAUAUAAAUUUUAAACUUUAAGAAUUUAUAUGAAUCAAUAUAAAUAUACUAAUGUAACCUGAAUCCAUCUAAUACCCUAAACAUUAACCUUCAAACUUAGAUAAUAUAACAAUGCAAAACUGAUUUUAUAUAAUUAAUUAGAUAUAAAAUCAUCAUUUAUUGUAAAAUAAUUGUAUUUUUAAUUUAUAUGAUUGAGUGUAAAAUUAAAAGAUAAAAAUUGAUUAAUUAGAGUUUUGUUUUAAAAUAUUUAUAUAUAUAUAUACUAGUUUAGGGGUUCAUAUGUUUAGUGUGAUACUAUUAUAUCAAGUUUGACGUAGUCAAACCUUAAACCCCUAAACUUUGCUCCAAACCCUAAACCCCAAAACUUAACCUUAAACUAUAGACAUAUAUCAUAACCCAAAUUAGUCAUAUACACUAAACUCUAACUAAAAAUCUUAAAAUUUUAAAUGUAUAUCAUACCACCGAUCAUAUACCCUAAAUCAUACUUAUAUCAUAAACUCACAUCUUUAAUCUCUAAUUUUAAAUAUAAAAAUAAUAUAAGUAGUUGUUAAAAAAAAAAAAUUUAUAUAACCAGUUGUUACAAAAGUUAAAUUUUAAAAUCUUAACCUCAUACUUAUAUAGCUAAACUCUGAAUCCAUACUCCAAAUUUCAAACCAUAUAUAAUAAACAUAACCUUUAAACUUUAAAUUUUAAUAUUUUAGUUCACAUUUAAUCAUAUACUUCAUUCUAAAUCUUAACCCUAAACCCUAAACCAAAUACCUCAUAUUAACAUAUAUAUAUCAUAAUACAUUAAAUCUUAAUUUUUAAAUAAAUUAUAUUCAUACAAGAAAAACAUACUACUCCAAACUAACAACAUUUCACAUUAUACAUUUACAAAAUAAAAUUAAACCACCAAAUAAUAAACCAAAAAAUACAAUCUAAUCUUUUCAGUCAAACCCUAAACC